CUAUUUUGUCUAUUUCACAAGAAACAGCUGACUUCCCACCCAAACUUAUUGCAUUGGAUGAUUUCAAUGUGGUUCACAGGGGACAUAUUUGACAAGGAACCAGAAGCAGCCUUCAUGUUGUGCUUCACUAGUUGAUUGGAUGGGGGCAAGGAUUGUUGCUGCAAUAUUGUGGCCUUUGCAUGUGUUGGGAACAAAACUAGUCUAUAGUAAAAUUCACUCUGCUAUUGGAAUAUCAAAGGCUGGCAUCAGUGGAGGAGGCAAUAGGCGUAAAAGUGCAGAAUGGAUAUGGUUUAACAGAGAGUUCUCCUGUUGUUGCUGCUCGGAGACCAAACU
Rosa chinensis is the source of this 333-nucleotide long non-coding RNA. RefSeq lists it as uncharacterized. The transcript is spliced from 3 exons. Lineage: Eukaryota; Viridiplantae; Streptophyta; Magnoliopsida; Rosales; Rosaceae. The record is from RefSeq and is a predicted model, not a curated record.